AAAUGUCCAGCUCCUUAUCAGCCCUGGAGUUGAAUGAAAUAGUUCCAAACGGAGAGUCACAUUUUCAGUGCUGCCUGACAGACAGGCCUUAACAUUCUGUGUUUGUUUUUUGCUUUCAAGAAGAGUUCUGUUCCUAAAAGAUUGAAGGAGGAUUAGGAGGAAGAUUCAUUAUUAUAUUACAGUAGAGUCUCGAUUAUCUGUCCUUCGGUCAUCCGACAUUCUGGAUUAUCCGACGUCACGGCUGCUUGGGGGCGUGGCUGUAGGCAUUUCCGCGCCCCAGACACGCCCCCAAACAUGGCGGCCGCGACGGGCAAGGAGAGAAGGGCGAGUGAAACCUCACCCCAAAACACGCCCCCAAGCGCGGCGGUGGCGGCAGCGAGCAGGGAAUUAAAUUUUGCUACCUGGAAAUUCUGUUCCAAUUGGUGAUACCAAUGAGGUGGUGCCAUGGGAGCCAGAGAUAUUGGUGACAGNAAAGGAACAACAGUCUACCUUUCCUGAUGGAAGAGGGUACAAUGAAGAGCCCUGAGCUUGGGUACCUGUGGUUUGGAACCACAAAGUCACAUCCAAGAAUUUGUGCCACACUGAAUAUAAGGGAAGUUCUGAUUCUUGAACACAAUUUUUUUUCGACUGUUGUGAUACGUUCUGUCGUGGCAGUUGACCAAAGCGAAGCGUACCGGUUUUGUACUGUGGGAAGAAUGUUCCUUUUCCAGUUUGCUGCUAUAAGUUGUUUUGUUGUAAGUAAUAAUACAUCCAAGAGUUGCAUGGUAGAUUGUGUUAAGUUUAGUUUACGACACAGGCCGCGGUCGGACAUCGUCAAUGUAAUCCGUAUCAGAAGAGUACACGCAGUGAAUUCGUCUUCUGGUCGUUCCCACAGUUACAGUUUAACACGGAGUCAAUUCGUACUUGCUCGUUCCCACACUGAUAUUUCCCGUGCUUGGCAGUACCCUUUCUGCCUCCACCCCUCAUCAAAUUCUCCUCCCUAUGCAGUCAGCGAUUGGCUGCAGUCCUAACGUUCAAACCUUGACGUCACAGGGGCGGGAAAGUCAAGCUCCGUUCUCCUAUGUCCCUGCUGCUACUUCAGAACAGAGAUUCACUUGGCAGCGUUACUAGGCAUUCGCCAUUUGCUCCUCCCUGCA
RNAcentral lists this long non-coding RNA (1136 nucleotides) under Salvator merianae (Argentine black and white tegu). Its description in RNAcentral is "lncRNA (ENSSMRG00000000595.1)". The record is from RNAcentral. Lineage: Eukaryota; Metazoa; Chordata; Lepidosauria; Squamata; Teiidae.